RNAcentral lists this long non-coding RNA (681 nucleotides) under Homo sapiens (human). RNAcentral describes it as "HSALNT0230706". The record is from RNAcentral. Lineage: Eukaryota; Metazoa; Chordata; Mammalia; Primates; Hominidae.
CGGCCAGCCGGGCCCGGCCCCGCUCAGCUCUCUCCGCGGUCCCGCCGGGCCCUGCUCGCCAACCCCGUGCUGGGCUGAUUGCCGAGGUAGAUGCCACCCACGCACCCCCGCGGCUGGGGAGCGCGAGCUGGAGGAUGCGGAGAGGCCUGAGGCAGGGGGGCCAGGCGCGCGCGCCCUAGGCAGUCUCAGAGGGGCCUGCUGAAGACUGAGGACGGAGGUGGGGGCAACAGGAUGGGGAGCCCGCAAUAGCCCAUCCUGACCUAAUCCGAAAGGACGAGAUCCUGGAGCCGCUCACAAAGUUUUCCGGGCCCCCUCCCACGCGUCGCCUGCACGUAUGUCCGUUUCCCGACGCUCCGCCCUCCCCCGCCAAGUUCGGCGUCUCCCAGCUCAGCGGCAGUCAGGGUGCAGAGGGAGCCCGACCUUGUCCCCGCCUCGGCCCGUCCCGCUUCUUCUGAAGCUUGUUUCAUUUUUAACUCCUUCCAGAAAAAUGUUGUUUUAAGGAAAAUCUCAAAGGAACAAAAAGCCAAUAGUGCCUUCCUUAUUUGCAAUCCCCACCCACCUCUGAGCUCGGACUGCAAGGGCCUCAAGGGACACCAGGUGACACCUGGGCCUUGCUUCUCACGGGUGACCUUGGACCAGAAAGGGUCAUUUUCAGUAAUGGGUAUGGCUGAGACUCUGCUG